GCCCUUGUAGCUCAGUUGGUAGAGCAAUUGAUUUGUAAUCAAUAGGUCCGCGGUUCGAAUCCGUGCGGGGGCA
RNAcentral lists this transfer RNA (73 nucleotides) under Candidatus Pelagibacter sp. HTCC7211. It matches the Rfam family "tRNA". Rfam says of the family: Transfer RNA (tRNA) molecules are approximately 80 nucleotides in length. Their secondary structure includes four short double-helical elements and three loops (D, anti-codon, and T loops). The record is from Rfam by way of RNAcentral. RNAcentral also lists the same sequence under 5 other names. Lineage: Bacteria; Pseudomonadati; Pseudomonadota; Alphaproteobacteria; Candidatus Pelagibacterales; Candidatus Pelagibacteraceae.